UAGGGAAUCUUCCACAAUGGGCGCAAGCCUGAUGGAGCAACACCGCGUGAGUGAAGAAGGGUUUCGGCUCGUAAAGCUCUGUUGUUGGAGAAGAACGUGCGUGAGAGUAACUGUUCACGCAGUGACGGUAUCCAACCAGAAAGUCACCGGCUAACUACGUGCC
This 163-nucleotide ribosomal RNA is filed under the name uncultured bacterium. RNAcentral's name for it is "partial 16S ribosomal RNA". It matches the Rfam family "Bacterial small subunit ribosomal RNA", at positions 355 to 509 of the family's 1533-position model. The record is from RNAcentral.